This 330-nucleotide ribosomal RNA is filed under the name Triticum aestivum (bread wheat). Its description in RNAcentral is "partial small subunit ribosomal RNA". The record is from RNAcentral. Lineage: Eukaryota; Viridiplantae; Streptophyta; Magnoliopsida; Poales; Poaceae.
AUGUGGAGUACACCGACGAGGAAAAACCUCCACAGAUGGCGGCAGUCCUGCAGUUGUGCGUCAAGGAACUCUGCUUGGUGUACCACAUCGCAGUGGCCACAAAAUAGCCCAAGCGCCUCAAAGACUUCCUGCGGGAGAAGAAAUUGUACACAUUUGUUGGUUUCAGCAUUGGAGGUGACAAGCGGAUGCUGGAGGAGUCUGGUUUGGAAAUCAACCCCAACAACUUCAUCGACAUGCAACGCAAGUGGAAAGAUCCAAAGACCAACAAAUACUACGACUCCUUGGCCGAUGUUGCAGACGGCGUCAUCCACCCGUUCUACGAAGGCAUGA